GUACCCGUACCGCAAACCGACACAGGUGGGUGAGGAGAGUAUCCUAAGGCCAGCGAGAGAACUGUUGUUAAGGAACUCGGCAAAAUGACCCCGUAACUUAGGGAUAAGGGGUGCCACCAUCAGGUGGCCGAAGAGAAUAGGCCCAAGCGACUGUUUACCAAAAACAUAGGUUUCUGCUAAGUCGCAAGACGAUGUAUAGGAGCUGACGCCUGCCCGGUGCUGGAAGGUUAAGGGGAUCUGUUAGAGCAAUCGAAGCAGUGAACUUAAGC
RNAcentral lists this ribosomal RNA (269 nucleotides) under Clostridioides difficile. RNAcentral's name for it is "partial 23S ribosomal RNA". It matches the Rfam family "Bacterial large subunit ribosomal RNA", at positions 1638 to 1918 of the family's 2925-position model. Lineage: Bacteria; Bacillati; Bacillota; Clostridia; Peptostreptococcales; Peptostreptococcaceae. The record is from RNAcentral.